AACGCGAAGAACCUUACCUGGGUUUGAAAUGCAGAUGUAAGCCUCAGAGAUGAGGUCCCCUCUUCGGAGGUAGCUGCAUAGGUGCUGCAUGGCUGUCGUCAGCUCGUGUCGUGAGAUGUUGGGUUAAGUCCCGCAACGAGCGCAACCCUUGUCCAUAGUUGCUAACGGGUCAAGCCGAGAACUCUAUGGAGACUGCCGGUGAUAAACCGGAGGAAGGUGGGGAUGACGUCAAGUCCUCAUGGCCUUUAUGUCCAGGGCUACACACGUGCUACAAUGGACGGUACAAAGAGUCGCGAAGCCGCGAGGCAGAGCUAAUCUCAAAAAGCCGUUCUCAGUUCGGAUUGCAGUCUGCAACUCGACUGCAUGAAGCUGGAAUCGCUAGUAAUCGCGGAUCAGCACGCCGCGGUGAAUACGUUCCCGGGCCUUGUACACACCGUACGUC
This 442-nucleotide ribosomal RNA is filed under the name uncultured bacterium. Its description in RNAcentral is "bacterial SSU rRNA". It matches the Rfam family "Bacterial small subunit ribosomal RNA", at positions 958 to 1398 of the family's 1533-position model. The record is from RNAcentral.